CGGGUGCACUGAUCCAGCCGGGCCUUUCCCUCUGUGGAACCCCAUGGCCUUCACUGGCUGUGGCGGGGAAACAGGACUUUUACUUUGAAAAAAUUAGAGUGCUCCAGGCAGGCCUAUGCUCGAAUACAUUAGCAUGGAAUAAUAGAAUAGGACGUGUGGUUCUAUUUUGUUGGUUUCUAGGACCGCCGUAAUGAUUAAUAGGGACAGUCGGGGGCAUCAGUAUUCAAUUGUCAGAGGUGAAAUUCUUGGAUCUAUUGAAGACUAACCACUGCGAAAGCAUUUGCCAAGGAUGUUUUCAUUGAUAAGGAACGAAAGUUAGGGGAUCGAAGACGAUCAGAUACCGUCGUAGUCUUAACUAUAAACUAUGCCGACUAGGGAUCGGACGAUGUUAUUCUUUGACGCGUUCGGCACCUUUCGAGAAAUCAAAGUGCUUGGGCUCCAGGGGGAGUAUGGUCGCAAGGCUGAAACUUAAAGAAAUUGACGGAAGGGCACCACCAGGGGUGGAACCUGCGGCUUAAUUUGACUCAACACGGGGAAACUCACCAGGUCCAGACACAGUGAGGAUUGACAGAUUGAGAGCUCUUUCUUGAUUCUGUGGGUGGUGGUGCAUGGCCGUUCUUAGUUGGUGGAGUGAUUUGUCUGCUUAAUUGCGAUAACGAACGAGACCUUAACCUGCUAAAUAGCCCGUACUGCUUUGGCAGUUCGCCGGCUUCUUAGAGGGACUAUCGG
Molecule: ribosomal RNA, 729 nt
Filed under: uncultured eukaryote
Lineage: Eukaryota
Description: SSU rRNA
Rfam family: Eukaryotic small subunit ribosomal RNA
Source: RNAcentral